RNAcentral lists this ribosomal RNA (490 nucleotides) under uncultured bacterium. RNAcentral's name for it is "bacterial SSU rRNA". It matches the Rfam family "Bacterial small subunit ribosomal RNA", at positions 16 to 500 of the family's 1533-position model. The record is from RNAcentral.
AUCAUGGCUCAGAUUGAACGCUGGCGGCGUGCCUAACACAUGCAAGUCGAGCGGUAACAGGUGUAGCAAUACAUGCUGACGAGCGGCGAACGGGUGAGUAAUGCUUUGGAAUCUUCCCAGUAGUGGGGAAUAACCAGUCGAAAGAUUGGCUAAUACCGCAUACGUCUGUAAAGGGAAAGCGGGGGCUCGUAAGACCUCGCGCUAUUGGAUGAGCCAAAGUCGGAUUAGCUAGUUGGUGGGGUAAUGGCCUACCAAGGCGACAAUCCGUAGCUGGUCUGAGAGGACGACCAGCCACACCGGAACUGAGACACGGUCCGGACUCCUACGGGAGGCAGCAGUGGGGAAUAUUGGACAAUGGGGGAAACCCUGAUCCAGCGACGCCGCGUGUGUGAAGAAGGCCUGCGGGUUGUAAAGCACUUUUAGUGGGGACAAAAAGCUACGGAUUAAUACUCUGNGUCUUAUUUAACCCAAAGAAAAAGCACCGCGCUAA